Molecule: long non-coding RNA, 1163 nt
Organism: Acyrthosiphon pisum (pea aphid)
Lineage: Eukaryota; Metazoa; Arthropoda; Insecta; Hemiptera; Aphididae
Exons: 7
Source: RefSeq, a predicted model, not a curated record
UCUUUUUUUUCUUGCAAACUGUGCAUCACUUUAAUAUUUUAAUUUAGAAUUUUUUUUUUUUUUUAAUAAAUAUCGUCAUAUCCCGACGUCUGUUCCUCCUUGCAAUCUUGCCACUUCAAUACGUUACUCACUGUUUGAAGUUAAAACUGUUGAAUGUUGAUUAUUGAAGGUUUUGUUAUUAAGCCCUUAAGUUCAUUUAGAUUGUACGUAAAUACGUAAUAGGCAAUAGCGUCGAUUAUAAUUAUUUUAUUAACUAUUAUUUCUACCUAUCAUUCAUACAAUUUCGAAUUUCUUUUGUUUAUACAAUGUUCACAAAGUUUGCGGAAAAGAAUAAAGAUGUUGUUAUAAGACUUAGAUUCUACCGGCUUACAGCUCUUAGUAUACUUUCUUGGUCCUGGAGAAAUCAUGGUCACCGAAAAAAAUGUACAAAUUUUGUUUCCAGUGGCAAAUCUCUUACAGUUAAACGGUACACACUAGGCGUGUUGUGAUAUAUUACAUACACGACUGCACCCUGCAGAUUGUAUUGGUAUAAAUGCGUUAGCUGAUUUUACAUAGCUGCACAAAAUUAUUAACAAGUUCAGAAUUAUAUAUUCACAAGCACUUUUCUUAUGAAGACGUGGUUAAGCAACCGUGACAAGUUUCCAGUUAUCCAAGAUAUCCAGUGAUGAACUUACAGUUCCAUUUGAAGAAAAAAUAAACUUCAAAAGUGGUGUUGUUGGUACCGCAGUUAUGACAAAAUACAAUAAUGAAACUUACAAAAUUGACGACAGAAUUAACAAAGAAGUACUGUAUUAGAAAUAGAACAUAACAAUUUGUGGUGGCAGACAACCGAUGUGGAUUUCAAAAAAUAAAAAUCUAUAAGAUAAUUUGGGGUUGAAGAUACAUUGGUUUACCUUGUUCCAGAAUUAUGCAUUAUGACUGGCUUGACCGAUGCCACGAGAAAUAAUUUCAAAUUCAUGAAAAGUAUGGCCAUAUAUACCCGUAUAAAUCCUAUAGAACGCAUGGAAAGGUUAACAAACAUUGCUCAUCAACUUCUUUCUAUACCCGAAAUUGUUCAUUAUUCGAAUCAUCUUCGUUCACAUUCAGAAAUUUUAAAUCGUCUUCAUCAAUGACAGUUAAUUUAGACUGAUGCACAGCAAUCAUUGUGUAAUCGUGUUUUUCAA